AAAGGAAUUGACGGGGGCCCGCACAAGCGGCGGAGCAUGCGGAUUAAUUCGAUGCAACGCGAAGAACCUUACCAAGGCUUGACAUAUAGAAGAACACUGUAGAGAUACAGGACUCUUUGGACACUUCUAUACAGGUGGUGCAUGGUUGUCGUCAGCUCGUGUCGUGAGAUGUUCGGUUAAGUCCGGCAACGAGCGCAACCCUCGUCCUAUGUUGCCAGCGGGUUAUGCCGGGGACUCAUGGGAUACUGCCGUGGUGAACACGGAGGAAGGUGGGGAUGACGUCAAAUCAUCAUGCCCCUUAUGUCUUGGGCUUCACGCAUGCUACAAUGGCCGGUACAAUGGGCUGCGAUACCGUAAGGUGGAGCGAAUCCCAAAAAGCCGGUCUCAGUUCGGAUUGGGGUCUGCAACUCGACCCCAUGAAGUCGGAGUCGCUAGUAAUCGCAGAUCAGCAACGCUGCGGUGAAUACGUUCCCGGGCCUUGUACACACCGCCCGU
Molecule: ribosomal RNA, 495 nt
Filed under: uncultured bacterium
Lineage: Bacteria
Description: bacterial SSU rRNA
Rfam family: Bacterial small subunit ribosomal RNA
Source: RNAcentral